This 429-nucleotide ribosomal RNA is filed under the name Chloroflexota bacterium. RNAcentral describes it as "Chloroflexi bacterium partial 16S ribosomal RNA". It matches the Rfam family "Bacterial small subunit ribosomal RNA", at positions 355 to 776 of the family's 1533-position model. Lineage: Bacteria; Bacillati; Chloroflexota. The record is from RNAcentral.
UGGGGAAUCUUGCACAAUGGGCGCAAGCCUGAUGCAGCCAUGCCGCGUGUAUGAAGAAGGCCUUCGGGCUGUACAGUACUUUCAGCGGGGAGGAAGGGAGUAAAGUUACUACCUUUGCUCAUUGACGUUACCCGCAGAAGAAGCACCGGCUAACUCCGUGCCAGCAGCCGCGGUAAUACGGAGGGUGCAAGCGUUAAUCGGAAUUACUGGGCGUAAAGCGCCCGCAGGCGGGUUGUUAAGUCAGAUGUGAAAUCCUCGGGCUCAACCUGGGAACUGCAUCUGAUACUGGCAAGCGUGAGUCUGGUAGGGGGGGGUAGAAGUCCAGGUGUAGCGGUGAAAUGCGUAGAGAUCUAGAGGAAUGCCGGUAGGGAAGGCGGGCGCCUGGACGAAGACUGACGCUCAGGUGCGAAAGCGUGGGGAGCAAACAGG